RNAcentral lists this ribosomal RNA (166 nucleotides) under Hepatozoon sp. RNAcentral describes it as "partial 18S ribosomal RNA". It matches the Rfam family "Eukaryotic small subunit ribosomal RNA", at positions 507 to 672 of the family's 1831-position model. Lineage: Eukaryota; Apicomplexa; Hepatozoidae. The record is from RNAcentral.
AAUUGGAAUGAUAGAAAUUUAAAUACUUUUUAAAGUAUCAAUUGGAGGGCAAGUCUGGUGCCAGCAGCCGCGGUAAUUCCAGCUCCAAUAGCGUAUAUUAAAAUUGUUGCAGUUAAAAAGCUCGUAGUUGAAUUUUUGCUAAAAAUAACCGGUCUGCUAUUAUUAC